UACGUAGGGUGCGAGCGUUAAUCGGAAUUACUGGGCGUAAAGCGUGCGCAGGCGGUGCUGUAAGACAGGCGUGAAAUCCCCGGGCUUAACCUGGGAAUGGCGCUUGUGACUGCAGUGCUGGAGUGCGGCAGAGGGGGAUGGAAUUCCGCGUGUAGCAGUGAAAUGCGUAGAUAUGCGGAGGAACACCGAUGGCGAAGGCA
Molecule: ribosomal RNA, 200 nt
Filed under: uncultured bacterium
Lineage: Bacteria
Description: partial 16S ribosomal RNA
Rfam family: Bacterial small subunit ribosomal RNA
Source: RNAcentral